This 1203-nucleotide long non-coding RNA is filed under the name Heterocephalus glaber (naked mole-rat). RNAcentral describes it as "lncRNA (ENSHGLG00000044808.1)". Lineage: Eukaryota; Metazoa; Chordata; Mammalia; Rodentia; Bathyergidae. The record is from RNAcentral.
CCGGUCUCCUCUCCACGCUCCUCCCUCAGCAGAGCCCCAGGACACACCGUGAGUGGGGCACAGGGCUGAAAGGACAGAGCAGGAGCAGGAACAGGGAGGAGGCUGCUCACACCCUUCCCACUGCAGGGCAGAUGGCAGCUGGGAUCAGACGAGGGCUUCCCCUGGGAGGGGAGUGUGAGCCCCAGACUUCGGACCAGGCUUUUCACUACCUGAGAAUGAAGUUCUCAGAGCAACAGAAAGGCUAUGGGGUCUGCCAAGAUUUCAUCCAGGACGCAGAAGAAUGGCGGACAAAUGGGGGUUUAUCAGACAGCGCUUGGAGAAAACAGUUUUGUUUGCACUUCGCCCCGUUCAGUCCAGGGCACUCAGUAAGCUGACUGUGUCUGCCAGGCACAGAGCUGGGCGUGAGGAACACAGCAGGCAAGGCUCCUCCACGGGACUGCGCGAAGGCUGCACUCCUGAGACGGUGGCUCGCUUGGGGCUGAAAUCUCAGAGCUCCGCUCGUCCUGAUCUCAAACUCUCCACCCGCCUGCCUCCGAGCUGACUCAUCUUCCGAGACCUGUGUGGUUAGAGUCCCGCAGAGAACCCCUUCCACAGCUGCCCUUCCCAGUGCUUAUUUCACAGCAGGCCACCGUGUCCAAGUGUGCUCCUCCACUCGGCAAAGACUGGGAGCACCUACGAUGUGGCAGACCCUGUGCGAAGCAAAGUUUAAUUUCUGUAGCGAUGAUUCCUCUGCCUAAGCCAUCAGGCCAAAUAACGUCUUCCCCCUACAUCUUGCUGCAAACCCAAUUUUCUCUGCAUGUAACUGGAGCAAAGGUUUCUUUUAUCUCCAGGAAUACUUCUGCUCAAGACACAGGGCAGGAAACAUGCUGCAGAAAAUAAAACAGGAAGAAGCAGAGGUGAAAUUCUGAAGAGCCUUGGAGACACAGCUAAAAUUAAGACUUGUUCUGUAAUUGUUAUUGGAAGACAAUGAAAGGUUUUGAGCUGUGGAACCAGCUUUGUUUGCUAAAAAGAUGAAUGUAACAGCAAGGAAGGAUUGAUGGGAAAGAGGAACGCUUGGCUUUUUAUGGGUGCGCUAGCAAACAUUUGGAACCAUGCCUGAGCACCUCCCAGGGUGGACUGAUAUCUCUCAACUGACAGAUCAACAGCUGGCGCAAACCUCUUUCCUUGGCUGCAUAUUUGAAUUUUUUUAUCAUUUAUUUGAUG